This 28-nucleotide small RNA is filed under the name Bombyx mori (domestic silkworm). Its description in RNAcentral is "ovarian small RNA-34093". Lineage: Eukaryota; Metazoa; Arthropoda; Insecta; Lepidoptera; Bombycidae. The record is from RNAcentral.
UGCUAGAGGACCAGAAUUCGUCCAUCAG